Long non-coding RNA from Manis pentadactyla (Chinese pangolin), 1049 nucleotides. RefSeq lists it as uncharacterized. The record is from RefSeq and is a predicted model, not a curated record. The transcript has 6 exons. NCBI's taxonomy places the organism in Eukaryota, Metazoa, Chordata, Mammalia, Pholidota, Manidae.
UCCUUUCUCCAUCCACUGCGCUGCUGUAUGUUGUUGCUAAUCUGGGCUGCUACCAUCCAAACCCGUCCUCGCCGCAGGUUGCCUUAGCUCCACUGCCAUCGGCCCCUCACUCGCCGGGCUGCCUCAUGAGGCUGCAGGAUGUUGAGCGCGUCCCGGAGAUGCCCGCCCUAUGGGCCUGUGGAGGCUCAAGUACGGAAGGCCACGUCGGCCGCGUGCGCCGUGAGAGCGACCGGAGCCCGCGACGGCCGCGCCCUUCUCCCGCCUCGGCCUGCGCAUCCCUGAGCUCCGCCGUGACGGCUGUGCCACACGAAGGUCUCAGGGUGACUGAAGUUGAGCUUUCUUUUGAGUGAAGAUUCUGGGGUCAUGACGCUAAUGGAGCACAACUACGUGAGGACCUGGUCGCCUCAUGUCUCCCGGCAGUGUCUAAUACUGAAGAGACCACCUUGUUGCUGGAGCUGUUUUAGAAUAAGGUCUCUUACCAGUGAAGCUGCUUUUGCCUGUGAUUGUGUAUCUAAGGAGUUGGGAGAGAAGUGCUAUGGGAAGAAGGCAAGCUAACACAACAGGCUAUUCUAAGUGGAAACAGUGACCUCAAUUUUUGCUAAAGCUGCUGCCUGGCAUGUUAAAGUGACCAAUAAAAGACUCAAAGGAUCUCCGAAGACACUGUGUCCAGAGGCUGCCAGUGACAGUCCAUCAAUGCAUCGUACAGCUCCUCACUCUGCUCCAUGAACUCCUUGUUGGCCUCAGUCACGUCCAGCUGUGGCAUGGGGUCUGGAAAAGAAGCAAGGACAGGUUCAGGGAGCAUCAAGAGGAGAAGCUCUCAGUUGCCACAAGAGACUGGAUUCAGUUCUUCUACAUCCAGGACUUCCUGUUUCCUAGGGCAAGCUCCCUGUCCUGGUGUCAAGUUCCCUCAUUUCUCAUGGCAGCUGAUCACACUGCCUUGCAGGGUUCUGUGAGGACGACAAUAAUGUACUUAGAGAAUGUAACAUGUAGUCACUAUUCAAAUGGUGGCUCUUACUCCAGAUUCAUUAAAAGCUACACCUCUACCUCUA